Molecule: ribosomal RNA, 142 nt
Filed under: uncultured bacterium
Lineage: Bacteria
Description: partial 16S ribosomal RNA
Rfam family: Bacterial small subunit ribosomal RNA
Source: RNAcentral
UACACAUGCAAGUCGAGUGCGCGUCUGUACCAAUACAGAUGGCGCACGGCGCACGGGUGCGUAACACGUGGGUAAUCUGCCCUUCGAAGGGGAAUAACUCGCCGAAAGGCGAGCUAAUUCCGCAUAACAUUCCGAGAACCUU